CUACGGGUUGCAGCAGUUAAGAAUCUUUUGCAAUGCGCGAAAGCGUGACAAAGUGAGCCAGAGUGCUUUUCUAAUUUGAAAAGCUUUUAUGAAAUGUAAAAAGUUUCAUGAAUAAGGACUGGGUAAGACGAGUGCCAGCCGCCGCGGUAAUACUCGCGGUCCAAGUCGCAGCCAUUUUUAUUUGGUCUAAAACAUCCGUAGCUUGUUCAAUAAGUUUUUUGUGAAAUCUUGUAUCUUAAAUACAGGGCGCGCAAAAAGUACUAUUGAGCUAGAGACUGGAAGACGUAGGAAGUACGAUUGAGGUAGUGGUAAAAUACUUUAAUCUUAGUCGGACUCACAACAGCGAAGGCAUCCUACGAGGACAGUUCUGACAGUAAGGGAUGAAGGCUAGGGGCGCAAAACGGAUUAGAUACCCCGGUAGUC
This 423-nucleotide ribosomal RNA is filed under the name uncultured archaeon. RNAcentral's name for it is "partial 16S ribosomal RNA". It matches the Rfam family "Archaeal small subunit ribosomal RNA", at positions 323 to 746 of the family's 1478-position model. The record is from RNAcentral.